GUCUAAUUCUCGUGUAAAAUCAACACUGUUGCCGAACGGGUAGGCUUGUUUGGCAUUCUGCAAUGUUCUACAGUGGUUUAAGGUUAAAGUAGAUUGUGAACCAAAACAUGUUCCUAACGAACGUAUUAUUGAAGAAAACCAAGAGCAAAAAGUGAGUGUGAUUGGGCGGACACAGAAGAGAAUAGGUGAAGAAUAGAAUUUUGUAAUCAUAUCGAGCAGCAUCUGCAGCUGCAUGGAUCCUGUGCCAUUGUUGUUUAACCCUAAACCACUGGUGAAUAAUAAGGUUCAUGAUGUACCAGUGGCUGUCAUUUCAGUCAACAGGCCUCAUUACUUGUACAGGAUGCUGAGGUCUCUUCUCUCUGUACAUGGAGCAAAUCCAGAGAUGAUAACAGUCUUUAUUGAUGGCUACUUUGAGGAACCGCUUGAGGUGACAAAACUCUUUGGACUGCGAGGAAUUCAGCACACCAAUUGGAGUUAAGAAUGCCAGAAUAUCUCAGUACUACAAGGCUUCUCUGACAGCAACAUUCAACAUAUUUCCCAAUGCCAAAUACAUAAUUAUUGUGGAAGAAGAUCUGGAUGUGUCUCCAGACUUCUUCAGUUAAUUUGGCCAGACUAAGAGACUGCUAAAGGAGGACGAGACACUUUACUACAUCUCUGCCUGGAAUGAACAGGGUUAUGAGCGCACCAGCAGUGAUCCAAGCUUGUUAUACAGAGUGGAAACCAUGCAGUGCUCAGAUGGAUCCUUAAAAGAUCUCUAUUAAGAUGAGCUGGAAUCCAAAUGGUCAACAUCUGAGAAGGGUGAAAUCAUAAUAAUGUUCAUCAAAAUGGAAGAAUCAAAAGACUUUGUAACGUGGCUGCAAGUAGCCAAGUUCGAGGUUAUCACAAGAGUAUGUGGAGACUGCACAUGAAGGGCGGUGAAAUGCUUGUCACUGGAGUGCCAGACUUGGAGUAUUCAUAA
Molecule: long non-coding RNA, 958 nt
Organism: Cryptotermes secundus
Lineage: Eukaryota; Metazoa; Arthropoda; Insecta; Blattodea; Kalotermitidae
Exons: 8
Source: RefSeq, a predicted model, not a curated record